This 141-nucleotide small nuclear RNA is filed under the name Dasypus novemcinctus (nine-banded armadillo). Its description in RNAcentral is "U1 spliceosomal RNA (ENSDNOG00000027312.2)". It matches the Rfam family "U1 spliceosomal RNA". From Rfam's summary of the family: U1 is a small nuclear RNA (snRNA) component of the spliceosome (involved in pre-mRNA splicing). Its 5' end forms complementary base pairs with the 5' splice junction, thus defining the 5' donor site of an intron. Lineage: Eukaryota; Metazoa; Chordata; Mammalia; Cingulata; Dasypodidae. The record is from RNAcentral.
GCACUUACCUGGCGGGGAGGCAUCACGACGGUUUCCAGGGCGAGGCGUGUUCACUGCACUCCGGCUGUGCGGUUUCCCCGGACGCGGGAACCUCGGCUGCGUAAUCUGUGGUAGUGGGGACUGCGUUCGUGCCCUCCCCUC